GGCCUGGAAUAACACGAGGAAACUUGUGCUAAUACCGGAUAAGUCUUUACGGAGAAAGCUUUAUGCACCAUUGGAUGAGCCCGCACUUGAUUAGUUUGUUGGUGGGGUAAUGGCCUACCAAGACUGUGAUCAAUAGCUGAUUUGAGAGGAUGAUCAGCCACAUUGGGACUGAGACACGGCCCAAACUCCUACGGGAGGCAGCAGUGGGGAAUCUUGCACAAUGGAGGAAACUCUGAUGCAGCGAUGCCGCGUGAGUGAAGAAGGCCCUUGGGUUGUAAAGCUCUUUCGUCGGGGAAGAAAAUGACUGUACCCGAAUAAGAAGGUCCGGCUAACUUCGUGCCAGCAGCCGCGGUAAUACGAAGGGACCUAGCGUAGUUCGGAAUUACUGGGCUUAAAGAGUUCGUAGGUGGUUGAAAAAGUUAGUGGUGAAAUCCCAGAGCUUAACUCUGGAACUGCCAUUAAAACUUUUCAGCUAGAGUAUGAUAGAGGAAAGCAGAAUUUCUAGUGUAGAGGUGAAAUUCGUAGAUAUUAGAAAGAAUACCAAUUGCGAAGGCAGCUUUCUGGAUCAUUACUGACACUGAGGAACGAAAGCAUGGGUAGCGAAGAGGAUUAGAUACCCUCGUAGUCCAUGCCGUAAACGAUGUGUGUUAGACGUUGGAAAUUUAUUUUCAGUGUCGCAGCGAAAGCGAUAAACACACCGCCUGGGGAGUACGACCGCAAGGUUAAAACUCAAAUGAAUUGACGGGGACCCGCACAAGUAGUGGAGCAUGUGGUUUAAUUCGAAGAUACGCGCAGAACCUUACCAACACUUGACAUGUUCGUCGCGACUCUAAGAGAUUAGAGUUUUCGGUUCGGCCGGACGAAACACAGGUGCUGCAUGGCUGUCGUCAGCUCGUGUCGUGAGAUGUUGGGUUAAGUCCCGCAACGAGCGCAACCCUCACUUUUAGUUGCCAUCAUUAAGUUGGGCACUCUGAAAGAACUGCCAGUGAUAAGCUGGAGGAAGGUGGGGAUGACGUCAAGUCCUCAUGGCCCUUACGUGUUGGGCUACACACGUGCUACAAUGGUAUCUACAACAGGAAGCAAGACUGCGAGGUCAAGCAAAUCCUUAAAAGAUACCUCAGUUCGGAUUGCACUCUGCAACUCGAGUGCAUGAAGCUGGAAUUACUAGUAAUCGUGGAUCAGCGUGCCACGGUGAAUGCGUUCCCGGGUCUUGUACACACCGCCCGUCACACCAUGGGAGUUGGUUCUACCUUAAGGCAAGGUUUCAAACCCUUGACCACGGUAUAGUCAGCGACUGGGGUGAAGUCAUAACAAGGUAGCCGUA
This 1324-nucleotide ribosomal RNA is filed under the name uncultured bacterium. RNAcentral describes it as "bacterial SSU rRNA". It matches the Rfam family "Bacterial small subunit ribosomal RNA", at positions 135 to 1504 of the family's 1533-position model. The record is from RNAcentral.